GUCGAACGAUGAACCACCUUCGGGUGGGGAUUAGUGGCGAACGGGUGAGUAACACGUGGGCAAUCUGCCCUGCACUCUGGGACAAGCCCUGGAAACGGGGUCUAAUACCGGAUACUGACCCCCGCAGGCAUCUGCGGGGUUCGAAAGCUCCGGCGGUGCAGGAUGAGCCCGCGGCCUAUCAGCUUGUUGGUGAGGUAACGGCUCACCAAGGCGACGACGGGUAGCCGGCCUGAGAGGGCGACCGGCCACACUGGGACUGAGACACGGCCCAGACUCCUACGGGAGGCAGCAGUGGGGAAUAUUGCACAAUGGGCGAAAGCCUGAUGCAGCGACGCCGCGUGAGGGAUGACGGCCUUCGGGUUGUAAACCUCUUUCAGCAGGGAAGAAGCGAAAGUGACGGUACCUGCAGAAGAAGCGCCGGCUAACUACGUGCCAGCAGCCGCGGUAAUACGUAGGGCGCGAGCGUUGUCCGGAAUUAUUGGGCGUAAAGAGCUCGUAGGCGGCUUGUCGCGUCGGUUGUGAAAGCCCGGGGCUUAACCCCGGGUCUGCAGUCGAUACGGGCAGGCUAGAGUUCGGUAGGGGAGAUCGGAAUUCCUGGUGUAGCGGUGAAAUGCGCAGAUAUCAGGAGGAACACCGGUGGCGAAGGCGGAUCUCUGGGCCGAUACUGACGCUGAGGAGCGAAAGCGUGGGGAGCGAACAGGAUUAGAUACCCUGGUAGUCCACGCCGUAAACGGUGGGCACUAGGUGUGGGCGACAUUCC
RNAcentral lists this ribosomal RNA (760 nucleotides) under Streptomyces sp. RNAcentral's name for it is "bacterial SSU rRNA". It matches the Rfam family "Bacterial small subunit ribosomal RNA", at positions 61 to 835 of the family's 1533-position model. The record is from RNAcentral. Lineage: Bacteria; Bacillati; Actinomycetota; Actinomycetes; Kitasatosporales; Streptomycetaceae.